RNAcentral lists this ribosomal RNA (425 nucleotides) under uncultured bacterium. Its description in RNAcentral is "partial 16S ribosomal RNA". It matches the Rfam family "Bacterial small subunit ribosomal RNA", at positions 354 to 796 of the family's 1533-position model. The record is from RNAcentral.
GUGGGGAAUCUUAGACAAUGGGGGAAACCCUGAUCUAGCCAUGCCGCGUGAGCGAUGAAGGCCUUAGGGUUGUAAAGCUCUUUCAGCUGGGAAGAUAAUGACGGUACCAGCAGAAGAAGCCCCGGCUAACUCCGUGCCAGCAGCCGCGGUAAUACGGAGGGGGCUAGCGUUGUUCGGAAUUACUGGGCGUAAAGCGCGCGUAGGCGGACCAGAAAGUUGGAGGUGAAAUCCCAGGGCUCAACCUUGGAACUGCCUUCAAAACUCCUGGUCUGGAGUUCGAGAGAGGUGAGUGGAAUUCCGAGUGUAGAGGUGAAAUUCGUAGAUAUUAGGAGGAACACCAGUGGCGAAGGCGGCUUGCUGGACAAAUACUGACGCUGAGGUGCGAAAGCGUGGGGAGCAAACAGGAUUAGAUACCCGUGUAGUCC